This 3225-nucleotide long non-coding RNA is filed under the name Rattus norvegicus (Norway rat). RNAcentral describes it as "long non-coding RNA NONRATT024520". The record is from RNAcentral. Lineage: Eukaryota; Metazoa; Chordata; Mammalia; Rodentia; Muridae.
ACCCCGUCAGUGACCCCCGGCAGACGGAGCAGGCAAGUGUACACUGGGGACCCCCAUGCUCACGUGACAUUAAAAGGAAACGGAAACCUGUGGCCUCAGCAUCUUUUUCUAGCCCUAGUACAGGGCACCCAGAUGUCCUAGAGCCAGCCAUCCCAGCACAGAAGCCUCCUGACUCAGAGUGGUUGGACGGGACCUCUGCAGCAGAGAAAACCACUGCCUUUCCUCCAGCCACAUUUUUCAAAAUGCCACAGGAAAAGAGCUCUGGAUGCAGCUAGAGCCCAGUUACCAAUGGGCGUUGAACCUCUGUAUUGUACAGUCUUAGUGUUCUGAUCAGCAGUCUUGGUCCUGAUGCCACCAGGACCAACUCCUCUUCACACACAGCAGUCACUCUUCUUUUAGAAAAUGAUAUUUGGGGAAUCUUCUUUUGUAAAAUAUCAGUUUUCUUUAAGUGGGCGGGGCAUCCUCUGCUGUAUUUCCUCCUUUUUUUUUUUUUUUUCUUUCUUUUUCGGAGCUGGGGACGGAACCCAGGGCCUUGCGCUCGCUAGGCAAGCGCUCUACCGCUGAGCUAAAUCCCCAACCCCUCCUCCUUUGUUGAUAGCCCACCAUUUGUGUCCAGCUGCUCCCUUACAGCUGCUGCCCCUUGGCAGCUGAGUCUUUGUUCCUGAAAAUCUAGUAACCGCUUUGCAUACCUUCUGUGUAGAGCUUUUAAUAUCACUGAUGAAGUCCUAAAUUCUCAGCCAACUCGAAACACAUCCCUGGAUGGAAGUGUGUUUGUGCAGUAAGGCUUGCCGUAGAGCCUUGGUUCACUCAGUGCCAGUAAGACACAUCAACCACAUUCUCCGUUUGGGGCCCCAGAGGAGACACCAGCAGUAUGGUUUGGGAACUUAUUCCCUUGCCUGCACAUGGUCUGAGGGGAUUGCCAGCAACCCCAUUGUACCUGACUCAUCUUCAUGCUCAGUGUUUACUGACAGCGGUCACAGAGGUCAGUGUACUACAGUGCAGGUGGGGGUUGAGGUGCCCAGCAAAAUAGUGGAUAAUGUUCUGACCCUGGUCUCAGGCUUUAUAUCCUAAGUGGGAUUCCACUGUUAGUGUUUUAUAGGUCAGUGACCAGUGAUAAGCAGAAACUCAUGCUCUGUUAUCUGGAUAAUGGUUGGUUGGGGCCAUGGUUUAGGAAGGAAAGAUGUCUUUGUGACAUGCCUUUCUAUGUGGCGUGUUUAUGACUGCUCGGCUGCAGGUACAGUUGUAUAUAUAGUAGUGUCCAAAGUUGAUGCUACUUUGUCAAGGUGAGGCAUAAGUGAGUACCUGGAGCUGCUAGGGAAGAGCCACAUUUCCCAAAAGUGUCAUCCAGAGUGCCUGUCAUUCAGGCCUGCUCAAGAGUGCUCUCUUUCUGUAUCAGCUGAGUGUGUUGACUCUGGAACGUACGCUAGCGCUUGCUAAAUGCUCGCUGCCUUGGUCGUGUGGGAGAGAAGAAACCUCUCCUUACGUCAGCUGCCAGGUGGUCUGGUGCCUCCUUUUCCUAAAGGGUAAUUCUCCCUCCACACGGAGUGCAGUCAGCAUGUCCCCCUUGAGAGUAUGUCCAUGUGAGAGGAUGCUCUGACUCGUUAGCACUGAGGUGGGCAGGUGGCCAGAAUGUGAGUCUGUUUGCAAAGGGGGACCCGAAGCUUGGUGUUUACAGAUCGUGUGGAUGGCUGAGAGUGUAUCAGCUGACCAUAACAAAAAUGGUGGAGGGGGGCACAGAGAGAGAUCGCAGCAUGAGAAGGGUGACACCAAAACCUAUCGCCCCAAAUCACCCUGGUUCUUACAAGGAGACUGACUGUCAUAUGGGUGUCUUAGCUACAUCCAUAGAAGAUAGGGACUGCCACUGUUACAUAGUUCAGAAUGAAGGGGAUACGUGGUGUUCCUGCAGUGGCCUAUGGGACACAUUUUUACUGUCCUGGGUUGGGGUGAGGGAGAAAUCUACUGACGAUGCCUUUUAAAUAUUUCCAGACUUUGAUGCAGACAUUGGUCCUGAUGAUGGCUGUGGAGACCUCCACAGUUAGGUGCAGAGGUGUUCCCAUAUUCUCCUUUGUCGGACAUUGUGCUACACCGCCUGCCUGGUCAUCUUCUUUUGACCUGGGAUUUAAAGUAGCUUAAAUAUACAUAUUUAUUUAUAUUUUAAAUACCUCUCUGAAGCCAUGCCAAUUUUCAGAGGUGAAGGCAGAGUUGCGUGCUCUACUCGAUCACAGGAGUGAGCCCAGACUGAAGCAGUAGCGGUUCGUGUGCUCUGCCCUGGUUAUAUAAUCUGUAGUUUCUUGUCGGUAUCCUGAGUCAGCCUGAGGCCCACAUCUGGGCAGUGCUCUCAUGACUGUUUAUCAUCUUUGUUGGUCAUGCAUUUCUACACAUUUCUGAAUACUUUUGACAGGGAUCACCCAAGAUUACAGCAUCUACCUAUAAUGCGUGGGAAUAAAGUUAUUUACCGAGAAAAUAGAAUAUUAAGCACAUAAAUUCUUUCGAAAACAGGGAUGUAAUUUAUGCUCAUUUUAAAGUGUAAAUGCAUGCUUAGGGAAGCCAUUUAUCCUGCUUAUCUUCUGUGUUAACCAGCUUUGGGGCAAACUUUAGUACCAGUUGUAUUUUAAACCUUACAUUUAAAAAAAUUUCUUAUGGCACAGUGGAUAAUGUCGUAAAUUAAGACCUGCUUUCCAGGAGAGAUGCAGUUUUGCAAUCACGUUUUGUUGUCAGUAUUGAAGACCACCUGGCAGACCUUAAAGACGCCAUUGGUUGUGCUCAUGCAUUUCGUAUUGGAGUUAAUGAAGCCAAGGGCAUGGUUCUGAUUUCCUGUUCUCAUAUCCUUGGGGACUCUGUGGAUGUUUCUCUGAAUGUCACUGUUUCCUUUUCUAUAGUGGACAAAAGUCACAUUACCUACUUGCAUGAAGUUCAUUCACAAGACGUUUGCGUCACCAAGAAGUUUAAAGGGAUCUGAGACUUUUCAGAUGCAGCAAUUAAAGAAAGAGCUUCAUUUGUGUCAAUCCCCUGUAGCUCUUUGGUCAGAGCUGCUGAGAAGGAACUCAGUGCUGUUUACAUGGUGCUACAUUCUGAGGGGCAGAAUGCAGUGUUCUGAGUGACAUGUGGUUGGGCCUUGAGAUUUUUAGAAGUCAAUUGCUAUGAAAGAUUUCAGAUGACACUGACUCUUAAACAAGGCAGUUCUCACAGCAAAUGACCCAAAGUAAAUAAAGCGUCUUAACUUGU